RNAcentral lists this long non-coding RNA (259 nucleotides) under Mytilus galloprovincialis (Mediterranean mussel). Lineage: Eukaryota; Metazoa; Mollusca; Bivalvia; Mytilida; Mytilidae. The record is from RNAcentral.
GUGGUUUUUGAGAAGGGUAAAUUAGUUCAGGCUUAUGCUUCUUAUACUGUAUUGGAUCAGUUACACAGAGUAGAAGAUGUAAGCAUGUCUGAUCAUAUCAUUGUUAAUGUUUUAGAAGAGAUAUAAUAAAUGUGAGAAACAUGAUUAUGUCCCUCUAAACUUCUGGUUUAAGAUAAAGUAAUCUUCAGUUGGUAUUAACUGCAUGUACUGACUUCUAAAUUCUACACAUUGAAGUCCGCUUUGAAUAGAACAUCUGCAU